AGAGAUGUGUGAUGACGCAUAUCAAUAAGCGGAGGAAAAGAAACUAACAAGGAUUCCCCUAGUAACGGCGAGUGAAGCGGGAAGAGCUCAAAUUUGAAAUCUUCAAGGUUUUCCCUUGACGAAUUGUAGUUUAAAGAAGUGUUUUCUGUUAGAGAGGUGGUAAAAGUUCUUUGGAAUAGGACAUCAUAGAGGGUGAGAAUCCCGUAUUUGAUCACUUUCUACUAGCUUUGUGAUACACUUUCAAAGAGUCGGAUUGUUUGGGAAUGCAGUCCAAAAUGGGUGGUAAAUUUCAUCUAAAGCUAAAUAUUGGCGAGAGACCGAUAGCGAACAAGUACCGUGAGGGAAAGAUGAAAAGAACUUUGAAAAGAGAGUUAAACAGUACGUGAAAUUGUCAAAAGGGAAGCGUUUGACACCAGUGUUGUUUUUCCGAAAAUCAAUUACGAAUGUUUUAUUUUUGAGGAGUUAUGACUUCAUCGGCUUGCUCCUUUCUUUAUGAAACUUUCUUAAUGCACUUUUCGGUUAACAAGUCAACAGCAAUUUCUUUUGUUGUAAAAGGGUAUGAGGAAGGUGGCUUUCUUUUCGGAGAAAGUGUUUAUAGCCUUGUGCCUCUGCAAUCGGAGAGAUUGAGGUCUGCAGCGUAGAUCCUUCGGGGUUAGAUACGUUUGUGCUAAGUUAUAGCUUUUCAUAGACAACUUGUUGACUAUGUUUAGUCUUGUAGCUUACUCGCUGACGCUAUUUUACCUACGCUUAGGAUGUUGACGCAUGAGAUAUACGC
This 775-nucleotide ribosomal RNA is filed under the name uncultured Neocallimastigales. Its description in RNAcentral is "partial large subunit ribosomal RNA". It matches the Rfam family "Eukaryotic large subunit ribosomal RNA", at positions 23 to 634 of the family's 3401-position model. The record is from RNAcentral. Lineage: Eukaryota; Fungi; Neocallimastigomycota; Neocallimastigomycetes; Neocallimastigales.